CCACGCAGUAAACGAUGAUUACUAGUUGUUUGCGAUACACAGUAAGCGACUGAGCGAAAGCAUUAAGUAAUCCACCUGGGGAGUACGUUCGCAAGAAUGAAACUCAAAGGAAUUGACGGGGGCCCGCACAAGCGGAGGAACAUGUGGUUUAAUUCGAUGAUACGCGAGGAACCUUACCCGGGAUUGAAAUGUAUAUGCUGACAGGUAGAAAUACUUGUUGUUCCCUUCGGGGACAUAUAUGUAGGUGCUGCAUGGUUGU
RNAcentral lists this ribosomal RNA (259 nucleotides) under uncultured bacterium. RNAcentral describes it as "partial 16S ribosomal RNA". It matches the Rfam family "Bacterial small subunit ribosomal RNA", at positions 795 to 1052 of the family's 1533-position model. The record is from RNAcentral.